RNAcentral lists this ribosomal RNA (253 nucleotides) under uncultured bacterium. RNAcentral describes it as "partial 16S ribosomal RNA". It matches the Rfam family "Bacterial small subunit ribosomal RNA", at positions 524 to 776 of the family's 1533-position model. The record is from RNAcentral.
UACGAAGGGGGCUAGCGUUGUUCGGAAUUACUGGGCGUAAAGCGCGCGCAGGCGGUCUUCCAAGUCAGUGGUGAAAGCCCGGAGCUCAACUCCGGAACUGCCAUUGAAACUGUUAGACUUGAGGACGAGAGAGGUGAGUGGAAUUCCCAGUGUAGAGGUGAAAUUCGUAGAUAUUGGGAAGAACACCGGUGGCGAAGGCGGGUCUCUGGGCCGAUACUGACGCUGAGGAGCGAAAGCGUGGGGAGCGAACAGG